GAGUUUGAUCAUGGCUCAGAACGAACGCUGGCGGCAUGGCUAAGACAUGCAAGUCGUACGAAUCGGAGUAGCAAUAUUCCGGUUAGUGGCGAAAGGGUGAGUAAUGCAUGGGUAACGUACCUCGGACUCAGGGAUAACCACGGGCUUUGCCCUUUAGCGAAAGUGUGGAUAAUACCUGAUGAAAUCGCUGGUUCGCAUGUUCCGGCGAUCAAAGGUGGGGACCGCAAGGCCUGCCGGUCUGGGAGCGGCCCAUGUCCUAUCAGCUAGUUGGUGGGGUAACGGCCUACCAAGGCAACGACGGGUAGCGGGCGUGAGAGCGUGAACCGCCUCAUCGGGACUGAGACACUGCCCGGACACCUACGGGUGGCUGCAGUAACGAAUAUUGGGCAAUGGGCGAAAGCCUGACCCAGCAAUGCCGCGUGCAGGAGGAAGCCCCUCGGGGUGUAAACUGCUGUCAGGGUUUAGUAAGCAAGGGAGGUUAAUAGCCUCCUGCGUUGAGCAGACCCAAAGGAAGCCUCGGCUAACUCUGUGCCAGCAGCCGCGGUAAGACAGAGGAGGCAAGCGUUGUUCGGAAUCAUUGGGCUUAAAGAGGGUGUAGGCGGUCUGGAUAGUGUCUUGUGAAAUCCCACGGCUCAACCGUGGAACCGCUCGGCAAACUUCCAGACUUGAGGUCGGUAGAGGUGCCUGGAACUCUAGGUGGAGCGGUGAAAUGCGUAGAUAUCUAGAGGAACGCCAGCGGCGAAAGCGGGGCGCUGGGCCGAUUCUGACGCUGAGGCGCGAAAGCGUGGGGAGCAAACAGGAUUAGAUACCCUGGUAGUCCACGCCGUAAACGAUGCACACUAGGUUCGGGAGUCUCUGACGGCGUCCGGGCCGAAGCAAAAGCGAUAAGUGUGCCGCCUGGGGAGUACGGCCGCAAGGCUAAAACUCAAAGGAAUUGACGGGGGCUCACACAAGCGGUGGAGCAUGUGGCUUAAUUCGAAGCAACGCGAAGAACCUUACCCGGGUUUGACAUGCUUGGAUGCUCUCUUGGAAAAACUCAGGGUCCGGCUGCCUUUGGGUGAAACGGGCACAGGUGCUGCAUGGCUGUCGUCAGCUCGUGCUGUGAAGUGUCGGGUUAAGUCCCUUAACGAGCGAAACCCUUAUCGCUAGUUGCCAGCGGGUCAUGCCGGGGACUCUAGCGAGACUGCCGGUGUCAAACCGGAGGAAGGUGGGGAUGACGUCAAGUCCUCAUGGCCUUUACGCCCAGGGUGUCACACGUGCUACAAUGGGGUGAACAGAGCGAAGCGAGCCGGCGACGGGGAGCAAAUCGCAGAAAUCACCUCUCAGUUCGGAUUGGAGUCUGCAAUUCGACUCCAUGAAGUUGGAAUCGCUAGUAAUCGCGUAUCAGCCACGACGCGGUGAAUAUGUUCCUGAGCCUUGUACACACCGCCCGUCAAGUCAUGGAAGCUGGGAGCACCCGAAGUCCGCUUAGUCAACCCUCGGGAGGCGGCGGCCGACGGUGAGCUCGGUGACUGGGACUAAGUCGUAACAAGGUAACCGUA
RNAcentral lists this ribosomal RNA (1541 nucleotides) under uncultured prokaryote. RNAcentral's name for it is "partial 16S ribosomal RNA". It matches the Rfam family "Bacterial small subunit ribosomal RNA". The record is from RNAcentral.